RNAcentral lists this ribosomal RNA (423 nucleotides) under uncultured bacterium. RNAcentral describes it as "bacterial SSU rRNA". It matches the Rfam family "Bacterial small subunit ribosomal RNA", at positions 30 to 459 of the family's 1533-position model. The record is from RNAcentral.
AUUGAACGCUGGCGGCAUGCCUUACACAUGCAAGUCGAACGGCAGCGGGCCUUCGGGUGCCGGCGAGUGGCGAACGGGUGAGUAAUGCAUCGGAACGUGCCAUUGAGUGGGGGGAUAACGUAGCGAAAGUUGCGCUAAUACCGCAUAUUCUGUGAGCAGGAAAGCAGGGGACCGCAAGGCCUUGCGCUCUUUGAGCGGCCGAUGUCAGAUUAGCUAGUUGGUGAGGUAAAGGCUUACCAAGGCGACGAUCUGUAGCGGGUCUGAGAGGAUGAUCCGCCACACUGGAACUGAGACACGGUCCAGACUCCUACGGGAGGCAGCAGUGGGGAAUUUUGGACAAUGGGGGCAACCCUGAUCCAGCCAUGCCGCGUGAGUGAAGAAGGCCUCGGUUGUAAGACUCUUGCGGAGAAUCGCAUGGGUGAA